CGAAGAGGCGAGUUCUCGAUCGGCAGCGCAGUCCAGUGCAGGAAGGACGUUUGAGUUCAGUUCCUUUGUCUUUUUUUGUUUUUGAAGGAAGCGACACAGCUGCUAAGGUCAGCGGGAUACAGAGAGGGACGGAGAGAGCGGGUCGUUGUCAUGGCGCCCAGCUAAACAAUGGAGGGAGGAGGUCGCAGAGGAGGCAGCAUCACACUGUUGCGACCGAAUCAUCUCUGUGGUGGGGGAAGCGGUGCAUGCUGGGAUUGCGGCCCGCUGAGAGAGCGGCAUUCUGGGAGGCGGUGUCCUGCGGGCCCGGGCCUCUGGGGAUGCAGCACGGUUAAUAGGCCUUUCAUGGCCGCCCCACAAAGCCCUUUGUCCCGAG
This is a long non-coding RNA of Gasterosteus aculeatus aculeatus (three-spined stickleback), 373 nucleotides long. The record is from Ensembl. NCBI's taxonomy places the organism in Eukaryota, Metazoa, Chordata, Actinopteri, Perciformes, Gasterosteidae.